This 272-nucleotide unclassified non-coding RNA is filed under the name uncultured bacterium. RNAcentral's name for it is "contains 16S-23S intergenic spacer region". The record is from RNAcentral.
UGCUGCCGUUGAUGAUCCUGGCCAACCUGUUCGCGCUGCUGUUCGCGGCGUCGAAGGGAUCGUCGUCGGCGAUCGGCGAGGUGAUGACCUUCGGCUCGAUCGGCCAGAAGCGGCUGCGCAAGGGCGAGGCCCAGCCGAUCACCUUCGCCGACGUGGCCGGCUGCGACGAGGCUGUCGCCGAGCUGGUCGAGGUGCGUGACUAUCUGCGCGACCCGUCGAAGUACGAGCUGAUCGGAGCCAUGCCGCCCAAGGGCGUGCUGCUGUUCGGCCCG